This 800-nucleotide ribosomal RNA is filed under the name uncultured Glomeromycotina. Its description in RNAcentral is "SSU rRNA". It matches the Rfam family "Eukaryotic small subunit ribosomal RNA", at positions 314 to 1114 of the family's 1831-position model. Lineage: Eukaryota; Fungi; Glomeromycota. The record is from RNAcentral.
AUCAACUUUCGAUGGUAGGAUAGAGGCCUACCAUGGUGGUAACGGGUAACGGGGUGUUAGGGCACGACACCGGGGAGGGAGCCUGAGAAACGGCUACCACAUCCAAGGAAGGCAGCUGGCGCGCAAAUUACCCAAUCCCGACACGGGGAGGUAGUGACAAUAAAUAACAAUACAGGGUUCUUUUGGAUCUUGUAAUUGGAAUGAGUACAAUUUAAAUCUCUUAACGAGGAACAAUUGGAGGGCAAGUCUGGUGCCAGCAGCCGCGGUAAUUCCAGCUCCAAUAGCGUAUAUUAAAGUUGUUGCAGUUAAAAAGCUCGUAGUUGAAUUUCGGGAUCAAUAUUUCGGUCAUGCCGUUGGUAUGCACUGUUAUCAUUGAUUUCUCACCUUCUAAAGAACCGUAAUGCCAUUAAUUUGGUGUUACGGGGAAUUAGGACUGUUACCUUGAAAAAAUUAGAGUGUUUAAAGCAGGCUCACGCUUGAAUACAUUAGCAUGGAAUAAUGAAAUAGGACAUCCGAUUCUAUUUUGUUGGUUUCUAGGAUCGAUGUAAUGAUUAAUAGGGAUAGUUGGGGGCAUUAGUAUUCAAUUGUCAGAGGUGAAAUUCUUGGAUUUAUUGAAGACUAACUACUGCGAAAGCAUUUGCCAAGGAUGUUUUCAUUAAUCAAGAACGAAAGUUAGGGGAUCGAAGGCGAUCAGAUACCGUCGUAGUCUUAACCAUAAACUAUGCCGACUAGGGAUCGGAUGAUGUUAAUUUUUUAAUGACUCAUUCGGCGCCUUACGGGAAACCAAAGUGUUUGGGUUC